Molecule: long non-coding RNA, 1699 nt
Organism: Macaca fascicularis (crab-eating macaque)
Lineage: Eukaryota; Metazoa; Chordata; Mammalia; Primates; Cercopithecidae
Source: Ensembl
UUUAGGCAGAGUUCUUAGGAUGUAUUUUUGUUCACCUGAAAAAUAAAACUUUUAAAAAAUAUACAGGACUUUUUGAGUACAGGUAUAUCUUAAAUGGCUGAAUUAUAAAUAAUGUCUCUGGUCAUGUUCACAGCUAGGGCUGGAGCAAAUGUCCCAAUUCCAGUGAAGGCUUUGGAGAGUCAGGAGGCCAGCAGCUGGAACUAUGAGUGGCCUCUCUAGACUCUCUGAUCCAUCCCAAAGAGGAUUUAAACAGUCCAGAAAGCAGGGAUCAGGAAGAGGACAGGGAAGUGGACUCCCAGAUGUUCUAUAAGUUCAAAGGAUUCUUGGAAUAAGAGAUCAAUUUACAAAUUAUUAAAAUAUAGGACUAAAAAUUCACACAGUAAAUAUAAAUUACAGGCUAUUAUUGAAGUUAUAAAGUGGCAUUUUAUGUUUCUUCCCUGUCUCACACCAAAAAUGUAAAGGCCUCACAGGCUUCCCAAUGACUGAAGUCCUAGUCAGCUGCUAAGAAAUCUGCUAUAGCCAAGAGACCCUGGAGGUGCUACCAGCCUGCUGGUAGGCUGUGACAGCUCCGUUGCUAUUAUCGUGCCCACAACAGGACAUGGCUUAAAGCAAGGCUGCUGUCCUGUAAACUUGGCUCAGAGCUAACCAGAGUAUAGGCCAGAAAACUGGAGAGACAAACUGUUUCAGGACUCAGGUGGGUAAGUUGUCUUUUUUUUAAAAAAAUAGUGCCUCAUUUCCCAAAAAGGAAACACUAAGGGGUUUGAUAUCUCAUCACUACCCACACUCAAUUGCCUAAAAGCAAGUGGCAGAAGGAAAUGGAAUCCAAAUUGACGAAGUCUAGUUCUUGCUACCCCAGAGCUACACACGUCCACAUAUUUCUCUUGAUGUUUCUCAUCUCCUUUAUACAAUUACAGGCUGCAUUUAUGUAGGGCUUCUCAGGAAAGGUAAAGACAGCCAAUUUAACCUUCCCUUGGCUAGUCUAUUAGCUGGCUCUCAAAGCACAAUCCUGAGUUUCAGUGAAGCCCACCUUCCAGCCUUUCUGAUUCUGUAUCACUCUACUUACAAAAGCUUGCUCUUCCUAAAAGAAUUCUGUGAGGGGAAGGCCAGGAUUGAAGCACAGCAGCAUUGCUCUUUCCCUUCCUUCCUCCCUGGCCCAUAUUCAGAUACUGAGGGCUGCAACAAGCCUCUUUGGUGGGGGCACUAGGAUGGAAAGAGGGGAUGAGUACAUUCCCCACCCCCCUAAAUUGCUUCUACUUCUCCUAAGGCUUUCCACAGCCACAUCAACAGUCUAAGAAUGCUUAUACUCUUUUGUGAAAGAACGUCAUAAACUUAUAUUUCAGAAAUAGGAGGGGAACAGGAGAAAGUGAGUGAUUUAAGAAGCCGUGUUUGUGCCCUUCCGGCCAGGUGUACUUCGGGGGACAGCAAAUAGCCCUUGCUUGACCCCUUCAGUCAGUAGCUACCCAGGGUGUGGGAGGAUAUACAUAGAAUUCUAUGUGAUUAUAGCUUCUAGUGCAUAUGUCAACAACUAUAUACAGGGAUCUAGAAAUUUAAUGCAUCUCUGGCCACUGCAACUAGGUUGACGUACCUGAGCUCCACUACUUUUGGUGCCCUCCUCCUUUCGAGAGCUUCAGCUUACUUAAAAAGAGCCCCUACAGCUCCAUCCUUCCCCUGAGUCUUAGGGGAAAGCCCCAGUCAUCCC